Molecule: ribosomal RNA, 266 nt
Filed under: uncultured bacterium
Lineage: Bacteria
Description: partial 16S ribosomal RNA
Rfam family: Bacterial small subunit ribosomal RNA
Source: RNAcentral
AGAAAGCACUUCGGUGUGAGUACAGCGGCGGACGGGUGAGUAACGCGUAGGAAUCUACCUGGUAGUGGGGGGACAACAUGGUGAAAACCAUGCUAAUACCGCAUACGCCCUAAGGGGGAAAGCGGGGGGAUCUUCGGACCUCGCGCUAUCAGAUGAGCCUGCGUAGGAUUAGCUUGUUGGUGAGGUAAGGCUCACCAAGGCGACGAUCCUUAGCUGGUCUGAGAGGAUGAUCAGCCACACUGGAACUGAGACACGGUCCAGACUCC